RNAcentral lists this transfer RNA (74 nucleotides) under Rhipicephalus microplus (southern cattle tick). RNAcentral describes it as "tRNA-Lys". It matches the Rfam family "tRNA". From Rfam's summary of the family: Transfer RNA (tRNA) molecules are approximately 80 nucleotides in length. Lineage: Eukaryota; Metazoa; Arthropoda; Arachnida; Ixodida; Ixodidae. The record is from Rfam by way of RNAcentral.
GCCGUGGUAGCUCAGUGGUAUAGAGCAUCGAACGCUUUAUUCGAAAGUCGCAGGUUCGGUUCCUGCCCAUGGCA